GCGACCCCGGGUCAGGCGGGACUACC
This 26-nucleotide ribosomal RNA is filed under the name Anthoxanthum alpinum. RNAcentral's name for it is "partial 26S ribosomal RNA". Lineage: Eukaryota; Viridiplantae; Streptophyta; Magnoliopsida; Poales; Poaceae. The record is from RNAcentral.